GAUGAACGCUGGCUACAGGCUUAACACAUGCAAGUCGAGGGGAAACGACGGGGAAGCUUGCUUCCCCGGGCGUCGACCGGCGCACGGGUGAGUAACGCGUAUCCAACCUGCCUCUGACUGAGGGAUAACCCGUCGAAAGUCGGCCUAAUACCUCAUGGCAUCGUCUGCGGGCAUCCAACGACGAUUAAAGAUUUCAUCGGUCAGGGAUGGGGAUGCGUCUGAUUAGCUUGUUGGCGGGGUAACGGCCCACCAAGGCUACGAUCAGUAGGGGUUCUGAGAGGAAGGUCCCCCACAUUGGAACUGAGACACGGUCCAAACUCCUACGGGAGGCAGCAGUGAGGAAUAUGGGUCAAUGGGCGGGAGCCUGAACCAGCCAAGUAGCGUGCAGGAGGACGGCCCUAUGGGUUGUAAACUGCUUUUAUGCGGGGAUAAAGUGAGGGACGUGUCCUUCAUUGCAGGUACCGCAUGAAUAAGGACCGGCUAAUUCCGUG
This 491-nucleotide ribosomal RNA is filed under the name uncultured bacterium. RNAcentral describes it as "partial 16S ribosomal RNA". It matches the Rfam family "Bacterial small subunit ribosomal RNA", at positions 28 to 507 of the family's 1533-position model. The record is from RNAcentral.